This 301-nucleotide ribosomal RNA is filed under the name uncultured bacterium. Its description in RNAcentral is "partial 16S ribosomal RNA". It matches the Rfam family "Bacterial small subunit ribosomal RNA", at positions 509 to 809 of the family's 1533-position model. The record is from RNAcentral.
CAGUCGCCGCGGUAACACGUAGGGUGCGAGCGUUAAUCGGAAUUACUGGGCGUAAAGCGUGCGCAGGCGGUGAUGUAAGACAGUUGUGAAAUCCCCGGGCUCAACCUGGGAACUGCAUCUGUGACUGCAUCGCUGGAGUGCGGCAGAGGGGGAUGGAAUUCCGCGUGUAGCAGUGAAAUGCGUAGAUAUGCGGAGGAACACCGAUGGCGAAGGCAAUCCCCUGGGCCUGCACUGACGCUCAUGCACGAAAGCGUGGGGAGCAAACAGGAUUAGAUACCCGAGUAGUCCCUGUCUCUUAUAA